GGAUGUGAGGGCAAUCUGGCUGUAACAUGUGUCACCCCAUUGUUCGCCAGGGUUGAUUCGGCUGAUCUGCCUGGCGAGGCGGGUGUUGCCUUCCUCCCUCAACGCUCCAUGUGCGUCCCUCCCGAAGCUGCACGCUCAGCCGAAGAGGACGACCACCCCUGAUAAAGAGGACAGUUCCUCUGUCAAAGGUAUACGAGGAGCUGCACUCCCCUACUAGAACCUCCAACCAACUCUCAAAAAAAGGAACAAGUUGUUUCUUUGCUAGUCACAAUGUAGAAAAUUCUAUCUAAAUACAUAACAGUAUCAACAUAGUUGAAAAAAAUGAUUUCUUUUUUAUUUUA
Molecule: small nuclear RNA, 341 nt
Filed under: Chinchilla lanigera (long-tailed chinchilla)
Lineage: Eukaryota; Metazoa; Chordata; Mammalia; Rodentia; Chinchillidae
Description: 7SK RNA (ENSCLAG00000021636.1)
Rfam family: 7SK RNA
About the family: 7SK was discovered as an abundant small nuclear RNA in the mid-70s but a possible function has only recently been suggested. Two independent studies have found that 7SK RNA binds the CDK9/cyclin T complex (known as elongation factor P-TEFb).
Source: RNAcentral